Molecule: transfer RNA, 71 nt
Filed under: Loxodonta africana (African savanna elephant)
Lineage: Eukaryota; Metazoa; Chordata; Mammalia; Proboscidea; Elephantidae
Rfam family: tRNA
About the family: Transfer RNA (tRNA) molecules are approximately 80 nucleotides in length. Their secondary structure includes four short double-helical elements and three loops (D, anti-codon, and T loops). Further hydrogen bonds mediate the characteristic L-shaped molecular structure. tRNAs have two regions of fundamental functional importance: the anti-codon, which is responsible for specific mRNA codon recognition, and the 3' end, to which the tRNAs corresponding amino acid is attached (by aminoacyl-tRNA synthetases). tRNAs cope with the degeneracy of the genetic code in two manners: having more than one tRNA (with a specific anti-codon) for a particular amino acid; and 'wobble' base-pairing, i.e. permitting non-standard base-pairing at the 3rd anti-codon position.
Source: Rfam by way of RNAcentral
GCAGUGGUGGUUCAGUGGUAGAAUUCUCAGCUUUCAUCCAGGUGACCUGAGUUUGAUUCCCGGCCAGUGCA